Molecule: long non-coding RNA, 9920 nt
Organism: Gallus gallus (chicken)
Lineage: Eukaryota; Metazoa; Chordata; Aves; Galliformes; Phasianidae
Exons: 5
Source: RefSeq, a predicted model, not a curated record
CUCCUACGGCGCGCAGCCCGCGGCUCUGGCAUCCCCAACGCACUUUCUCUCCUCGAUUUGCUUCUCUUUCCCCCGCCGCUCCUCCUUCUCCGGCAAAAAAGAAAUGAGAAGGGACCGCGAGGACGUUGCUUUUUUUGUUUUUUGUUUUUUUUUCCUCUCUCUGUCCUCUAGAAAUGGUGAGAGGAUCACAUGAGGAGCUGGCACGGAGACCCAGGACCCUUGGACGUCGGAGGAGGCAUCGAACACAUAGAUUUUCCUGUUGGCCCCGUUCCUCCAGUGGCUGUGUGUUCCUCUGAAUGACAACUUUGCCAUCAGCUAUAUUAUCUGGUCACAUCCCCUACCUGGUGUCAUCUGCAAACACGAAGAAAAGCUACCUGUAAAGACUGAAAACAUUUCUUGUGUGAGAUACUUGCUCUGUCUUCUAUUGGGAAGGGUUCUGCAUGCAGUACACCCAACAAGUUAUGCCCUGGUGACUUGUUUGACAAGUUGGCAGGUAAAAGGUGUGAACCCAUCCACUCUUGUCCUUGCUGAGACUUCUGUUUUUUAAUCUCUGAAAUAUCAAGCAACAAAGGAAGACCAGGAUUCCUUCUGAAGAUAACUGGUGAGCUAGACGAGUAAAGCAGAUCCAAAGCCACCGUUCAGACCUUCAGGAAUCACAGACCACAGCCUGUCUGUUGAUGUGCCUCAAAAGGCAACUUCUGUCUAACAGCAUUGCAUGAGAACACAGCUAACCAUUUGCUCAGUGCUUUCACUGUUUGCAGAGUGCAUCCUGGACAAGUGACAUCUCUCUUCCCUGCUUUGACUGUUUAGGUAGUCUUAAAAGGGCUAAAGCAAAUGACAGUAGUUAUUUUUUAUUAUUAUUAUUUUUUUAUGUUGUAUAUCUAUUAGUUCACAGUUUGAUUUGAUUUGAAGUCUGACUAUUGCCUCUUGGUACUUUAUGAGCUGACUCAAAAAGGUGAACGGAUAAGUAUGAAACUUGUACCAAAAGCAGAAGAGGAAAACAGCUAGCACAAGGCAUAUGGUGUGGCAGGAACAGCUGCACUAAGAGUCUUUUUUAUUUGUGAUUGAGUUAAUGAGAAAUAACUCAUAGAGGGAUGGUGGAAGUCUGAAGAGGUACCACAUUGUUGCAGCAAUGGCUUUUCUGGUUGCUUUUUAAAUAUUGGCCUGCACUAGUCUUUUCAACAGUGUUUACAUUACUGAAAACUGAAAAAAAUGCAUAAAUUCCAGGAAUAAGUUAGAAAUGCAUUUAUAAAUUUAUUCUCUAGAACUGUUCUAGAAAGAAUCUGUAAGUGAUUUCUGAAGGCUCCUCACAUUCAUAAAACCCCUAUAAAAAGAUCCAUUUGUAUGUCCAGUGUAUUUUUUACAUUGGUUUUUCUGCCUUCUGAGUACAUUAAAUUUAUAAUCUCAUAUGCUGUAGAUAAGAAUCCAAAUUAGUCCUUUGACAGUUUUUCUUUGAAUAUCAUUAGAUGUGGUAAUUAUGAGUAGAGAAAUAUCAGUUCCUGGACUUAGAGUCAAUUACAAAGGGGAUCAGCUAUAGGACACACAAGUUAUAAGUGAAUGGAAACAGUGAUUCCGGUCACCAUUCCCUUCACAACUGGUGACUCUGCUCACAUAUUAAGUUCUCAUAAAGAAAGAAUGAAUUAAGCUCAGAAUUUCACUGAAGCAAAAACUGUAUCUUGAACUUUACUCUGAACUUUUGGUCCCAAAGAGAUAAUGCUCUUCUUGCUGCCGCUGAACUCCUAAGCUACAUGUAAAAUCUAGACAGUUAUCUCUGCACUGUCUUCUCAAGAGAAAACUUUAUAUUGUGUGCCCAUUAGGAAAAGAUAGAAUUGGAAAAAAUAUUUCAAACAAAGCUUAGAAAUCAGUCAUUCUUCUUAUCUACAUAUCCCUAGCUAUAGCCUGACUGGUGGAAGAGAAGAAAAUUGCUUAAGUACCUUUGAGGAUAUUGCUGUAAGACAUUAAUGUUGCUUCUUUUGGCAUAAUGACAUAGAUAAAAAAGAUGAACAACAAAUAUCAACUUAUCAGAGACCUCAGGAGAGAUAGAUGCUUUCAUUCAACUUGUUUGUAUAAAUAAUUUCACCUGCUUUUUCCAGUUUCCCCAUCUCUUAUACAGCUCUAGUUACUUUUACCUGUCAGAAAGGGUCUUCUAUGGAUCACCCUCAUGAACUGCGCUUUCAUGCAUUCAACAUUGUCAGAUAUUUUAGUAACUAAUAACAUUGUAAUUUCAUAAUUGUGAUUGCAAAAAUACAGUAGGGAUAGAUUUUACAGUUAUUUAAAAGGGUGACUUCUGAAAGUUUUCUGCUGCUUCACUGCUUCUCUGUUCCUACAGUGACAUGGAUUUCCUAAGAAAAUCCUUGAUCCUUAGAGACCAGAUCACAUGAUCUCAUGCUGCAUAUCUCCACUCUAAACCAAGAAGUUCUGAUCCACUUACUGUUGAUGUUAGUUUGUACUGAGGAAUGUUGUUUCACUGCGUUGUUGUUUCAAAUGAGUUCUCAUUUUACUUUUCCCUUAACGUUCUUUGGAAUAACUAUAGUAUGAACUCGUGAACAAAAACUACUAGGUUUCAUCACAAAUAGACAAAUUCUUAACUAAAUAUAGUCAGAAAUAAUGAUUAAUUUGCCUGAAAUAAAUUGUAUACAAAAAUGAUGGGACAGGAGGAUAAGGUUCCAGACAUUCUAUAGCAUAAUUCUAUUUCAGUUGGUUAUUGAUUAUGAUGACAGCAAGGGCAAGAUCAAGUCUUUCAUAUCUCUUGAAGAGAAAUUGUCUUAAAAUACAUAAUCUUAAUAUAAUUUUGAGGAAAUAUAUAUUCACUCAUCUGACUCAACUUAACUUUGUUCCUUUUCCCCUUAGCCUUCUUGCAAGGUUCUGAAAACAAAACAAAACAGGAAAGAUGUAUCAUAUAUAUACCUUUUAAAUGUUGGAGGAGCAAAAUUUCUUCAGUGUUAAAUUGCUUUGUUAUUAAUAGAGGAAUUCUAACUCUGGUGCACUGGGUCUGUGAAAUGGAAACAAGAAGUUUCUUUGGUUGUUAAUGAUAAUUCAUGAGUGAUUUUUAGUCUGAAUAACAAAGCUGUAAGUACAGACUUAGGACCUUAGCGAUUCAAUAAAUUAAGGCAUGUCAGCUCAAUUUAUAGCUUUUUUCAUAGCUUUUCUAACAAUUUGCAGCCAUGUAAUCUUCCAAGUGCUGCAUAUCAUUGUGCAAGCAAUGUAAAAUAUGUCCACUUAAAUAGAAAGCAUGAAGCAUUGUACCAGGGUGCUUCUGUCAUACUUACUUCCUGUUUCCAAGAUCCAGAUUUAAAGCCUUCCUUGACAGAAUUACCAAUGUUCUUUUCUCCUAAGGAAAUGAAAUUAUGCUUAUCAGAUUUCCUUCAAGGGUGAGGUUUUGAAAUACCAUAUCCUUCCUUUUUACACAACUAGAAUUCUGGGAGUGGCUUUUUUUUUCUGUGUUUUUUGAUACUGGUGUUCUGGCUUCACUACGUUACCUUCUAAUUUGUAGUGAUUUCAAUGAGGAGAGAUUCAGGUCUGUCAUGCUGGUGAUUUACAUGAACAACUCCUUGUUCCAUAUGCAACACUGGUAUAACUUUUGAUGGGAAAGAAUUCACAGUACCUGACCUAUUUACCACUUUUUUAUUCCAUUUCUUGAGAUAAAAGUGUUGUAUAGAUGAAUCACAGACAGCAGAGUAUGCAUGUUUGGUUACUGUGUCACUUUCAGUUCAUCAUGAAGAAAAAUCUUUUCUAAUCAUCUAGCCUUUUACUUAAUAACACUUUUGAUAAAUUGCUUGUAUACAGUAGGUUAUCAAACCCAAACAUUAAAGACUUCAGUUUGACACUGCAGGAAUGAAUCAUACUGAAAAAAAAAAAAAAAAAAAAAAAAGGCCAAAUUUACAAUUCUUCAUCUGGAGUAAAAAAAUAAAAAAAAAAUCAUGUCAGUCUAAAGACCUGCAGUAAUGACUCAGAAAAAGAUUUUAGGUCGGUCCCAAGGAAUUUAAAGAUAUACUUGAAGCAGAACUGUUCAUUUCAACAACAUUUCAUAUCUAUUUACUACUAAGUUUCAGUGCUCUCUAUAGAUCACUGCUCUGUACUUAAUCGUAUGACACCAUUAGGAAAGUUUUCCUUAUAUUCUUUUUCUUUUAUUAUUUUUUAAUUAAUCCAUUCCCAUUUCUUAUACCUUUUUGACUUUUCUUCCUGUUGUAGCUGUCACACUUAAAAAUAUAUGAGUGACAACAAGUUUGACAGCCUCUGGGACAGUGAGGCACUGAGCAGAAGAAAGCAUCCUCAGCAUGUUCACAGAGUCAAUAGGGAUAGCGGCAUGGAUAGCAGUGAUAUAUAUUCCUGUCAGCUAAGAGUGGCUCAGUGUAAAGUGAGUGCAGACAUACUUUUCCUCACAACAAAGGAAGGAAACACUGAAGAAACGUUUACUAGAUUGCUAGUUGAAAGAUUACAAUGAUUUCCAAUUUAUAAAAUAAGACUCCAUUCAGAGUACUUUGUAGAUGGACCUGCUCCUCAUUUCUGUUACUUUUACACUGUAAAGAUGUCUUACCAUGGCUGUAUGCAUAAUUUAUUUGAACUUUAUUGUCUUUUAUGCUGCUGGAACAUUGCGCUGAGGCUUCAGUAUAAAUAAAAACUAAGUGCCAGCAUGUGUCAUUAAAGCUUUCAUUGGGCUAAAUUAGAAAUCCUCCUCUCAAGAAAGGAGAUCAUGGAAACAAAACUACUUAAUAGGGUAACCCUUACAGCACAAGGGAAAUACUUUGUUCAAUUUCCCUAUGGCUCAAGCAUGUCCUGCUUUUAGGUGUGUGUGCACAUGCAUGUGCAAGCCUAGCUGCUUCUUGUACAUUUAAGUGUAACUUUAACAACUGCUGAGUCCUGGGUACAAAAAGACCAUCCAAGGAAAUAUCAUUAAUGCAAUUGUAUCUGGUCCAUUUGUUAGGGAAAGGUAGGGAGAUAUAUGCUGUAAUUUGGUGUCAGGCACAGGAGAGUAGCUAUCUGUUUGGAGGUCAGCACCUGUGGAGAAGGAAUCUACCAGCUGUUUCAAUCUCUCCUAAUUUUUAAAAACAAAAAUGCAGUUCUCAUUUCAGUUUGCAUUACAAUGUGCUCCAUUUUCCCUGCCACAAAGUUAAUAAUCCUUGGUAGCUGAAUGAAGCAGAGCACUUACCAUGUUUAUUGUCUCUAUUAAACCACACCACCAAAUGUGACCAAACAUUCUGAGGUUGCAACAAAAAGCACAUUUUCAUUCUGAUUGAGCACCAUAACAACCUCGUAAAAAAAAAGAAAUCACAAGUUUGUUUUGUUACAGGUAGCCUAUUUAAAUCUGGUGGGUGAAAGCCUCAAAGAUAUGUGUCUGAAAAAGAGCCAGUAUCUGUGUUUGCAGUGGAGUGCAGGGGCCCAAGCUCCUGUCUUGUGCUCCCCCAGCCAAGUUAUAUCUCACAGAGCUAAACUGGUGAUGAAUACACUAUGGAAUUUGCUUUGCAAAACAAAUAUUUGACUUCCUACAGACCACUGAAGACUUGAUAAAACUUAGAAGUGACGCCUAACAAAUUUGCCUUUUUAAUCAAAGAGUUUUUUUAUUCCUUUCAUCAAACUAUAAAAUUGUAAAUGCUAUUUAUAUUCAGAAAUCUUUCAAAAAACAAGCCUUCACAAAAUCAUGGUGCUCAGAACAAGACUUUGUAAGAGAAGUUUCCAUAAAAAUUAUCAGUUAUCUCAAAUAUAGAAGUUACAUAACCUAUUAGUCAAGAAGGCCAAUAUAUCUAUUCUGCUUUCACAUGUGGAAUGGUGAGCAAAUGCUGAAGGCAAAAGGCCAGGAAGGGUGAAUGAUGUAGAUACCUUGACAGCCCCAGCACUGCUUGCUGGCAUGUAAGCCUGUGGAACAGAUUCCACAGUGGGGAAGGGCAGACUGGGAGCCAAGUGAGUUCUUAAGAAAGCAAGAUGGGGAGGUAGAUAGUUCCCUCCCAUCAAAGGCAUGGGAAUGCCCACAUGAGCUAAUAAUUUGCCUGGCUCCAAUCUCAAAAACAGGAGAUUGAAGAGUACAGGAGUCAUUCAGGACAUGACAAGAGUGGGAUUUUUGUUGUUGCUGAUGUUUACAAUUCUUUUGAGAGCUGAAGGCUUUCCUAUGUGUGAGUAGAAGGGCGAAGACAACAUAGAUGCUGAAAAAUAUAUAUCCAGUUAUGAAGAUGGUAGGAAAAAAAUGUCUGAAAAUGUCAGUUUGAAGGAGGUGGAUAUUACCUAGUAGUUUUUCCGCCAUUUUUAAUUAAUUAGUCAAAAAUAAUACCUAAAUCAGUCUUUAUUCUUCUUCAUUUACAUAACCUAGUUUAUAGGAAGUUUUCAGUAUGACAGAAUGUUUUUUUUUUUAUUAAAAUCUUAUAGGUUCAAAUUUGAAAUAUUUUGUGUCAAAGUCCCUGCUUCACUCCUCCCUAGAAAGUAAAGAAGGGUACUUGAAAGUGUUAAAACAUUUCACUCUAAUAAUUUCUGAUAUUUAGAAACGUGCCAAAACCAACCAACCAAACAAAAAAAACCCACAAAGAAACAAACAAACAAAGAUACCCAAUCCAGUAUCUGAAAAGGGACUGAAUAUGAAAUGGAAACCAUCAUUUUGUUACCACUAUGUUGGUGGAAUACAUCAGUGUUGCACACAUUUCUGACCUUUUUACCCUAAAAUGGGAUACAGUGAAACAAGAUAAGGUCCAACAAAAGGAGAGAAGACUGCUUAAAAACCAAAUGACUUCACUAUUAAGAACAUACACACAGAUUAAGAAGACACAAAUGUGGGGUAAUUAGACAGGUCUAAAUAAGUAUUAUUUGCCUGGAGACAGCAUAAUUUUAUGCAAUGACUAUUCAUUGCUUCUCUGAACACGAGGCAAUGGAAAUCAAAUUAAGUUUUGAUAUAGCAGAUUCAAACCAAAUAAAAUGACUUUUUUUCUACAUAACAAAAUAUAAAUCUGCACAACUUGUUGCUACAGUAUGUUGUCGAUGCAAAAAAUUUACAUAAAUUGCAAAACUCAUUAAGCAGACUCAGAAAAGAAUCAUAUUAACCAUCAAAGAGUUUAUUAGCCGUCAAAGGCUAAUAAAUGUGAGAUAAAACCUGCUACUCAGGAGCACCAUGAACUUCUGCUCAGAGGAAGUUCAUAGAGAAUACUAGGAAAGCAACUGUAUAAUAAAAUUUGCUGCAUUUAUAUACUGUUCUGUAGUUGACUUCACUCUUCUGAUAUCUUUGGUCAGAACAGAAGAUUUUUUGUUAUAGCAAAAUAAGUUUUUCUCUGUUUCUGGAAAUCAGAAAAUCUGAAAAAAAAAACCCCAUCACAAGUGUAGCAAAACUAAAUAUUUUGAUAGCCAUAAAAAUGUUUGUCAGAUUAUUGUGACUUAAAAUAAAAGAAAGAAAUAAUAAUAUAAAAAGGUGAACUGUCUAUUUAUACGACAAAACAUCUUAUCUCCCUCCCACACCUAUUCAUAUAUACUCGCAGUUGUUACUUGUAAGAACAUACUGUUGGGGAGGAUACUUAAACGUAUAAUUAUAUUAAAUAUAUAGCUAGUAAAGUAGUAAAACAGGAUGAAUAACAUAGUACCAUAGUAACAUAGUACAUAAGUAAAGCUUAUUUUAUUGGACUAUAUUUAAAAUGAAUUUUUAUUAUUAUUUUUGGACCAUCUCCACUGAAAAUAUUAAAGAGUUCCUUGCUCUUUCUGUAAUCUUUUACCUCGGCAUUCUUUUGUUAUCUUGCUUGCCUCAAUCACUUUGCCUAACUUUUACUACCUAGCUCUCUAAAAGAGCAACUUGUAAGAACUAUUUUAAAAAAAUUAAAAAAAAAUGUGAUUUUUUUUAUUGUGCUCUGCUCUGCAAUGAAAUGAUUUCUUCUUCUCUUUUCAUCUAAUUAUUCUUUCUCCUUCAAAUUCUUUGUAAGCAUAAAUCCGGCUUUUCUUUUACACAAAUAGGGGACAUCUGACCCUAAACAAAUGUACAAAAGUAUAGUUUAACAAGAAAACAAAUUUAAAAGAACAAAUCUUCCAAGUGUGACUAACAAAACUGAGUUUAUUACCCCCAAAUAUAAUGUACUAAUUAUGCAAAUUUGCUUUCACAAUAUUGAAUACUGAAGGUUUUAACAUCAAUUUUAGCAUGAUUACUACUUUUAAUUCAGGGAAUUCUGAUGUUACAUGGGAAUAUUUUUUGUUUAAACAAACUGAAUCUAAAUAAAGUUUAGCUGUGAAAAACAGACAAGCUUUUAUACACAGACCUCCCUGUGGACCUGGAAAAAAAAAGCAAUUAUUUGCUAGAAAACUAGGGUAUAUCUUUUUUCAUGGUUUUUGCUCCUUUCAAUGACAAAUAUUUCCUCUUCUUAUACAAUUUUUACAAAAACUUUCUAAUCUCCUAGCCUUUAACAAUCAUAUCUAUGAUGUCAAUAUUGAAAUAAAGAGAUCCUGAAGGACCAGUAGACUGGAAAGUGACUAAGAAGAGGCCAGAGCCAUCAUUAUUUGGGAAUAGAUAUCCAUCUGUAAUUGAUAUGUAGAAGAAGUGAUGAUCUGGCAAGGUCAGAACUGGAUCUGCUUGCUCUAAAGACCUGGAAGAACACAGGUGAAGCAUGUAUGAUUUAGUGUCAUUAUCUGUAUUAGAAAAAUCCAGCACAUCAUGGGAGUGAUGAAUAGCCAUGAUUCGUCAGACUGGUCCUUCUGCAGUACAGAGGUUGGCUAUUUGAGUUUACUCAGUGUUUGAGAUAAGGAAAGACUAUGACUCUUUCCAAAAUUCCUUAAGAAACCAGACUCCUGAACUACAAACAGAUGACGUAAGCAGUAAUGGUCAAUAAUUCAAAAGUUUAUCUCUUAUGUACAAUUCAGUGGGUGCUUAAUCAUUGAUUUUAUUAGAAUGAGAAUCAAACUCCUGGGCUUAAAAUUAAUUUUUAACAAAUGUACAGAAAUAAAUGCUUCAUUCAGUUGCUGCUACUGUGUUUUAUGUUGUAACUUCAAUACCAUGUUUUGCUGUUGCAGAGAACUCAGUUCAGCAGCCCUUCAUCCUCCAAGCUGCUUGAAAUCAACAGCACCCAUAAAAAAGCAAAAAUACUGAUAGCUUAAAUCCCAUUUAGGGCAUAGAGAUAUGGGUUCUUAUGUGCUCAUUAUUGGCCCACUUUGCAUUUAAGAACAAAACAAGGGUUGAGUAAUACUCUUUCAAAGCAUAAUCUGUUUUUUUACCUAGGGCUUAGUGUAAGAAAGCCAUGUUGCUUCAUCGGUUCUCUGUGGACUUACAAAUGAGUACAAAGCCCAGGGUCAAAUUCUGAACGUUCUCUUCCUGAAGUUUUCAACUUUUCAGAGUCAAAAGUCAUGCACUGUUGGACUACAGUCUAGUAAUGUGACCUUCAGCUUGCAUCCAGUUUUCUUCCAUUAAGGAAAACAUCUCUGGUAAAUAUGCCAAUCUGCUAUCUGCUUGAAAGUACUGGACUAAACCAUACAGACUGAACUUUUGUGAAAUAUCCUGCAGAAGCACUUAGUGUCUGACAGUCUUCUAUUUAUCUUUGUCACCUACAAACUCAUUUUAAGUAUAAUACUGCAGCAAUAAAUACAGUGGGGUGAUUAUUAUUACAAUGAACUCAUUUAACAUUACUAUGUCAAGUUAAGGUAUAUUUUAACAGUAAAGCACCAAAUUACCAAAUUAAAUUACAGUUCCAGUAUGGUUAAGUUAGAAUGUCUUUGCUAAGAUGAAAACUUUACAAAAUUAUACAAGCCUUUGUAUUUUUUUCUAUUGAUUUUAGAAUGUUCCUGCUAUAUAUGAACGGAUAGAAUAACAAUAGCCAAUGUAAGUCCAUAACAUAUAGAUGAGUCUGAACACAUGUGCUACUCUUUUAAUUUAAAAAUAAAGCAGCUUACAUACAUCCUGUUGUAUAUUAUUUUAGCUGAUAAAAUACAGACUUUACUUUGCAUGAAAAAACAAAUACAGCUGCACAUCAAGU